Molecule: ribosomal RNA, 484 nt
Filed under: uncultured Mycobacterium sp.
Lineage: Bacteria; Bacillati; Actinomycetota; Actinomycetes; Mycobacteriales; Mycobacteriaceae
Description: bacterial SSU rRNA
Rfam family: Bacterial small subunit ribosomal RNA
Source: RNAcentral
GCCCUUCGGGGUACUCGAGUGGCGAACGGGUGAGUAACACGUGGGUGAUCUGCCCUGCACUUUGGGAUAAGCCUGGGAAACUGGGUCUAAUACCGGAUAGGACUACGGCCUGCAUGGGUUGUGGUGGAAAGCUUUUGCGGUGUGGGAUGGGCCCGCGGCCUAUCAGCUUGUUGGUGGGGUGAUGGCCUACCAAGGCGACGACGGGUAGCCGGCCUGAGAGGGUGUCCGGCCACACUGGGACUGAGAUACGGCCCAGACUCCUACGGGAGGCAGCAGUGGGGAAUAUUGCACAAUGGGCGCAAGCCUGAUGCAGCGACGCCGCGUGGGGGAUGACGGCCUUCGGGUUGUAAACCUCUUUCAGUACAGACGAAGCGCAAGUGACGGUAUGUACAGAAGAAGCACCGGCCAACUACGUGCCAGCAGCCGCGGUAAUACGUAGGGUGCGAGCGUUGUCCGGAAUUACUGGGCGUAAAGAGCUCGUAGG